CAUUGUUUUGUUGCUUACUUUAUUCUGCUAAUUCAUUGUGCUUGUCAUCUUGCUCUCUUCAUACUUUGCUCAUGUUGCCAUUUCCUGUAUAGUGGGCAGCGAUUAAACACACUAAAAGGCACUGUGGUGUCCUAUCCACCGGUACCUUGUAUGUCUCAGCCCAUCUUUCCCCCUUCGCGAUUAGCUCUUAAUGUGAUUUAUAUGCCAUCCCCAAUCAUUAGCUAAAGCUUAAAGGAAAACUAUAGGGUCAGGGAAAAAAAAACAUGUAUUUCUGACACUAUAGUGUUAAAACCACCAUCUGCCUUUUUGUCGCUCUAGCCAAAAAAAAACACCCUUUACCACCCCAUUCGCUCUACAGUGGUCAUGUAGGUUUAAUCCCUCAAGUUAAAACAUUGCCUUACCUUGAAGGGUUAAACAAGCCUCUAGUAGCUGACAGCCACUAGAGAUACCUCUGCUAAAAUGCCAUGUUUAAUUAUGAGAAGUGUUGGAAGUGCAUAGCGUUUGCCACUUAUGCGCCUGUAUGAGGAACAUUAGAUUGGAC
Non-coding RNA from Pelobates cultripes (western spadefoot toad), 541 nucleotides. Lineage: Eukaryota; Metazoa; Chordata; Amphibia; Anura; Pelobatidae. The record is from the annotation of a GenBank genome assembly.